UUAAGCGACUAAGCGUACACGGUGGAUGCCCUGGCAGUCAGAGGCGAUGAAGGACGUGCUAAUCUGCGAUAAGCGUCGGUGAGGUGAUAUGAACCGUUAUAACCGGCGAUUUCCGAAUGGGGAAACCCAGUGUGAUUCGUCACACUAUCAUUAACUGAAUCCAUAGGUUAAUGAGGCGAACCGGGGGAACUGAAACAUCUAAGUACCCCGAGGAAAAGAAAUCAACCGAGAUUCCCCCAGUAGCGGCGAGCGAACGGGGAGGAGCCCAGAGCCUGAAUCAGUGUGUGUGUUAGUGGAAGCGUCUGGAAAGGCGCGCGAUACAGGGUGACAGCCCCGUACACAAAAACGCACAUAUUGUGAGCUCGAUGAGUAGGGCGGGACACGUGGUAUCCUGUCUGAAUAUGGGGGGACCAUCCUCCAAGGCUAAAUACUCCUGACUGACCGAUAGUGAACCAGUACCGUGAGGGAAAGGCGAAAAGAACCCCGGCGAGGGGAGUGAAAAAGAACCUGAAACCGUGUACGUACAAGCAGUGGGAGCCUCUUAAUGGGGUGACUGCGUACCUUUUGUAUAAUGGGUCAGCGACUUAUAUUCUGUAGCAAGGUUAACCGAAUAGGGGAGCCGAAGGGAAACCGAGUCUUAACUGGGCGUUAAGUUGCAGGGUAUAGACCCGAAACCCGGUGAUCUAGCCAUGGGCAGGUUGAAGGUUGGGUAACACUAACUGGAGGACCGAACCGACUAAUGUUGAAAAAUUAGCGGAUGACUUGUGGCUGGGGGUGAAAGGCCAAUCAAACCGGGAGAUAGCUGGUUCUCCCCGAAAGCUAUUUAGGUAGCGCCUCGUGAAUUCAUCUCCGGGGGUAGAGCACUGUUUCGGCAAGGGGGUCAUCCCGACUUACCAACCCGAUGCAAACUGCGAAUACCGGAGAAUGUUAUCACGGGAGACACACGGCGGGUGCUAACGUCCGUCGUGAAGAGGGAAACAACCCAGACCGCCAGCUAAGGUCCCAAAGUCAUGGUUAAGUGGGAAACGAUGUGGGAAGGCCCAGACAGCCAGGAUGUUGGCUUAGAAGCAGCCAUCAUUUAAAGAAAGCGUAAUAGCUCACUGGUCGAGUCGGCCUGCGCGGAAGAUGUAACGGGGCUAAACCAUGCACCGAAGCUGCGGCAGCGACACUAUGUGUUGUUGGGUAGGGGAGCGUUCUGUAAGCCUGUGAAGGUGGCCUGUGAGGGUUGCUGGAGGUAUCAGAAGUGCGAAUGCUGACAUAAGUAACGAUAAAGCGGGUGAAAAGCCCGCUCGCCGGAAGACCAAGGGUUCCUGUCCAACGUUAAUCGGGGCAGGGUGAGUCGACCCCUAAGGCGAGGCCGAAAGGCGUAGUCGAUGGGAAACAGGUUAAUAUUCCUGUACUUGGUGUUACUGCGAAGGGGGGACGGAGAAGGCUAUGUUGGCCGGGCGACGGUUGUCCCGGUUUAAGCGUGUAGGCUGGUUUUCCAGGCAAAUCCGGAAAAUCAAGGCUGAGGCAUGAUGACGAGGCACUACGGUGCUGAAGCGACAAAUGCCCUGCUUCCAGGAAAAGCCUCUAAGCAUCAGGUAACAUCAAAUCGUACCCCAAACCGACACAGGUGGUCAGGUAGAGAAUACCAAGGCGCUUGAGAGAACUCGGGUGAAGGAACUAGGCAAAAUGGUGCCGUAACUUCGGGAGAAGGCACGCUGAUAUGUAGGUGAAGCGACUUGCUCGUGGAGCUGAAAUCAGUCGAAGAUACCAGCUGGCUGCAACUGUUUAUUAAAAACACAGCACUGUGCAAACACGAAAGUGGACGUAUACGGUGUGACGCCUGCCCGGUGCCGGAAGGUUAAUUGAUGGGGUUAGCGGUAACGCGAAGCUCUUGAUCGAAGCCCCGGUAAACGGCGGCCGUAACUAUAACGGUCCUAAGGUAGCGAAAUUCCUUGUCGGGUAAGUUCCGACCUGCACGAAUGGCGUAAUGAUGGCCAGGCUGUCUCCACCCGAGACUCAGUGAAAUUGAACUCGCUGUGAAGAUGCAGUGUACCCGCGGCAAGACGGAAAGACCCCGUGAACCUUUACUAUAGCUUGACACUGAACAUUGAGCCUUGAUGUGUAGGAUAGGUGGGAGGCUUUGAAGUGUGGACGCCAGUCUGCAUGGAGCCGACCUUGAAAUACCACCCUUUAAUGUUUGAUGUUCUAACGUGGGCCCCUUACCGGGGUUGCGGACAGUGUCUGGUGGGUAGUUUGACUGGGGCGGUCUCCUCCUAAAGAGUAACGGAGGAGCACGAAGGUUGGCUAAUCCUGGUCGGACAUCAGGAGGUUAGUGCAAUGGCAUAAGCCAGCUUGACUGCGAGCGUGACGGCGCGAGCAGGUGCGAAAGCAGGUCAUAGUGAUCCGGUGGUUCUGAAUGGAAGGGCCAUCGCUCAACGGAUAAAAGGUACUCCGGGGAUAACAGGCUGAUACCGCCCAAGAGUUCAUAUCGACGGCGGUGUUUGGCACCUCGAUGUCGGCUCAUCACAUCCUGGGGCUGAAGUAGGUCCCAAGGGUAUGGCUGUUCGCCAUUUAAAGUGGUACGCGAGCUGGGUUUAGAACGUCGUGAGACAGUUCGGUCCCUAUCUGCCGUGGGCGCUGGAGAACUGAGGGGGGCUGCUCCUAGUACGAGAGGACCGGAGUGGACGCAUCACUGGUGUUCGGGUUGUCAUGCCAAUGGCACUGCCCGGUAGCUAAAUGCGGAAGAGAUAAGUGCUGAAAGCAUCUAAGCACGAAACUUGCCCCGAGAUGAGUUCUCCCUGACUCCUUGAGAGUCCUGAAGGAACGUUGAAGACGACGACGUUGAUAGGCCGGGUGUGUAAGCGCAGCGAUGCGUUGAGCUAACCGGUACUAAUGAACCGUGAGGCUUAACCUU
Molecule: ribosomal RNA, 2902 nt
Filed under: Escherichia coli BIDMC 20B
Lineage: Bacteria; Pseudomonadati; Pseudomonadota; Gammaproteobacteria; Enterobacterales; Enterobacteriaceae
Also listed under: 2 other names
Description: bacterial LSU rRNA
Rfam family: Bacterial large subunit ribosomal RNA
Source: RNAcentral